UUAGGAUUGAAUUUAGGAUUUAGCAUUUGUCUAGGGUUUGAUUUAGGAUUUAGAAUUUAUCUAGGAUUUGAUUUAGGAUUUAGAAUUUAUUUAGGAUUUGAUCUAGGAUUUGGUUUAGGAUUUAGGGUUUGUCUAAGGUUUGAUUUAUGUUUUGGUUUAGAAUUUAGGGUUUAGGAUUUUUCUAAGAUUUGAUUGAAGUCUAUUAGGAUUUAAAUUAGGAUUAAAUUAGAACUUGGUUGAGUUUUAUUUAAGAUAUAUUUUUGAUUAUUCAAAUAUUUUAUAGGGCUUCUUAAGG
This 295-nucleotide long non-coding RNA is filed under the name Physcomitrium patens. Its description in RNAcentral is "long non-coding RNA (PPAT_LNC001115)". Lineage: Eukaryota; Viridiplantae; Streptophyta; Bryopsida; Funariales; Funariaceae. The record is from RNAcentral.